CUUACCAACCCGAUGCAAACUACGAAUACCGAAGAAUGUUAUCACGGGAGACACACGGCGGGUGCUAACGUCCGUCGUGAAGAGGGAAACAACCCAGACCGCCAGCUAAGGUCCCAAAGUCAUGGUUAAGUGGGAAACGAUGUGGGAAGGCACAGACAGCCAGGAUGUUGGCUUAGAAGCAGCCAUCAUUUAAAGAAAGCGUAAUAGCUCACUGGUCGAGUCGGCCUGCGCGGAAGAUGUAACGGGGCUAAACCAUGCACCGAAGCUGCGGCAGCGACGCUUAUGCGUUGUUGGGUAGGGGAGCGUUCUGUAAGCCGUUGAAGGUGUGCUGUGAGGCAUGCUGGAGGUAUCAGAAGUGCGAAUGCUGACAUAAGUAACGAUAAAGCGGGUGAAAAGCCCGCUCGCCGGAAGACCAAGGGUUCCUGUCCAACGUUAAUCGGGGCAGGGUGAGUCGACCCCUAAGGCGAGGCCGAAAGGCGUAGUCGAUGGGAAACAGGUUAAUAUUCCUGUACUUGGUGUUACUGCGAAGGGGGGACGGAGAAGGCUAUGUCAGCCGGGCGACGGUUGUCCCGGUUUAAGCAUGUAGGCGGAGGUUCCAGGUAAAUCCGGUACCUUAUUAACGCUGAGGUGUGAUGACGAGGCACUACGGUGCUGAAGUGAUAAAUGCCCUGCUUCCAGGAAAAGCCUCUAAGCAUCAGGUAACACGAAAUCGUACCCCAAACCGACACAGGUGGUCAGGUAGAGAAUACCAAGGCGCUUGAGAGAACUCGGGUGAAGGAACUAGGCAAAAUGGUGCCGUAACUUCGGGAGAAGGCACGCUGAUGUGUAGGUGAAGUCCCUGCGGGUGGAGCUGAAAUCAGUCGAAGAUACCAGCUGGCUGCAACUGUUUAUUAAAAACACAGCACUGUGCAAACACGAAAGUGGACGUAUACGGUGUGACGCCUGCCCGGUGCCGGAAGGUUAAUUGAUGGGGUUAGCGGCAACGCGAAGCUCUUGAUCGAAGCCCCGGUAAACGGCGGCCGUAACUAUAACGGUCCUAAGGUAGCGAAAUUCCUUGUCGGGUAAGUUCCGACCUGCACGAAUGGCGUAAUGAUGGCCAGGCUGUCUCCACCCGAGACUCAGUGAAAUUGAACUCGCUGUGAAGAUGCAGUGUACCCGCGGCAAGACGGAAAGACCCCGUGAACCUUUACUAUAGCUUGACACUGAACACUGGUCCUUGAUGUGUAGGAUAGGUGGGAGGCUUUGAAGCGUGGACGCCAGUCUGCGUGGAGCCAACCUUGAAAUACCACCCUUUAAUGGCUGGUGUUCUAACGUGGACCCGUAAUCCGGGUUGCGGACAGUGUCUGGUGGGUAGUUUGACUGGGGCGGUCUCCUCCCAAAGAGUAACGGAGGAGCACGAAGGUUGGCUAAUCCUGGUCGGACAUCAGGAGGUUAGUGCAAUGGCAUAAGCCAGCUUGACUGCGAGCGUGACGGCGCGAGCAGGUGCGAAAGCAGGUCAUAGUGAUCCGGUGGUUCUGAAUGGAAGGGCCAUCGCUCAACGGAUAAAAGGUACUCCGGGGAUAACAGGCUGAUACCGCCCAAGAGUUCAUAUCGACGGCGGUGUUUGGCACCUCGAUGUCGGCUCAUCACAUCCUGGGGCUGAAGUAGGUCCCAAGGGUAUGGCUGUUCGCCAUUUAAAGUGGUACGCGAGCUGGGUUUAGAACGUCGUGAGACAGUUCGGUCCCUAUCUGCCGUGGGCGCUGGAGAAUUGAGGGGGGCUGCUCCUAGUACGAGAGGACCGGAGUGGACGCAUCACUGGUGUUCGGGUUGUCAUGCCAAUGGCACUGCCCGGUAGCUAAAUGCGGAAGAGAUAAGUGCUGAAAGCAUCUAAGCACGAAACUUGCCCCGAGAUGAGUUCUCCCUGAGACUUUAAGUCUCCUGAAGGAACGUUGAAGACGACGACGUUGAUAGGUCGGGUGUGUAAGCGCAGCGAUGCGUUGAGCUAACCGAUACUAAUGAACCGUGAGGCUUAACCUU
Molecule: ribosomal RNA, 2016 nt
Filed under: Enterobacter hormaechei
Lineage: Bacteria; Pseudomonadati; Pseudomonadota; Gammaproteobacteria; Enterobacterales; Enterobacteriaceae
Also listed under: 1 other name
Description: partial 23S ribosomal RNA
Rfam family: Bacterial large subunit ribosomal RNA
Source: RNAcentral